CACCUGCAGGAGCGACGCUCGUUUGCAGCGCCUCCUUCUCCCUCGCCGCCGCCGUCGGGCACGAACUCACUCAUCAUUAGUUUUAGUGUGAGGCCGCCGCGCGGCGCGUGUGUGUGGCGGCGGAGACGGGAAUUCUCGCCCGCCAACUCCGGCCGUCCCUCCUCGCCGUGGCCGAUGACCGCACAACCGGAGGCCGCGGCCACUCGGAAAACGGCGGCGAUGAGGAGGCCCGGCCCUUGGCGCAGACCCGUUCCUCCGACCGGCGGCCGCGUCGGACCUCCGCCUCGUGGGGCCAGCCCUCCCGUCCGUCCGCGCCGCGGCGCCACCGGCAUGGAGGCUCUGCUCGGGCAGCCGCGGCGGCGUCGUCGGCGGCGGAUGCGGCGGUAGGGGGCUCCGGUGACCGCGCGGCGGAGGCUGGGCGUUGCUUCCGGUCGCUGGUUCCGGCGACAGCCAAGCCGUAGAUCUGAGCCGCCCCGUCGUGGAUUCGUCCACUUCGUUUCUGCCAUGUUCCGAUUUGGUACCCCUACUCCCUUCUCUCUCGCUCGCUCGGUCGGUCGAUGAUGUCUGUACGUGUGUGCUUGUGCGAGCUCUGACCAAACCGAGGGUUUGGCUGGUCGCCGGAUCCAGAUCCCACCUCCUAGGGGGCCGCCUCCGACUAGCAAGUUUGGCGCUGGGAAUCCUAGGAGUAGAGUAGGGAUCGAGCCAGUGUUGUGUUGCGUAUCACAACCUUUGGGAAUCCUGGAGACUAGGUGGUGAUCGUUGGCUGUUUUGGCUGCGGAAUUUCGCGCCAUUACUCUGGGGAUCACCACCGUCUGCAUCAGUGGCGGAAGCUUAAACUAUGAAUUGAUCCACCGUCGGUCGUGCUGACCCGUGCCUCUGAGCAGUCAGUCCUCCGCCUCACGGGGCCAGCCCUCCUGUCCAUACUGCAAUGCGAGGCCACUGGCAUGGAGGCCGAGUUCAGGCAGCUGCUGUGGCGUUUGCGGUGGCAAGGGCUUUGGGGACCAUGGGGUAGAGGCUGCCUUCCAGUUGCUAAUGCUCCUGCUCCUCCUCCUCCUCCUCCUCCUCCUCCUCCUCUCCUCUCUCUCUCUCUCUCUCUCUCUCUCUCUCUCUCUCUCUCUCUCUCAAUAUCAGUGCAGCCUACGAAACGCGCCCUUAGUCUCUGAGCAUCUAUGAACCUUAAGGUUGCUGCUGCUGCUACUGUUGUUGUUGCGGCGAUUUACACAAAAAUAACCCUUUUGGAAGUUGGGAUCGGCGGUGAUGAGGCCUGGUCGUGCUGACCGGUGCCUCUGAGCAGUCAGACCUCCGCCUAACGGGGCCAGCCCUCCUGUCCAUGCUGCAAUGCCAGGCCACUGGCAUGGAGGCCGAGUUCAGGCAGCCGCUGUGGCGUUUGCGGCGGUGGCAGGGGCUUGGGGACCAUGGGGUGGAGUCUGGCUUCCAGUUGCUGCUGCUCCUCUCUCUCUCUCUCUCUCAAAUUCCUCUGAAUAUCAGUGCAGCUUACCAAACGCGCCCUUAGUCUCUGAGCAUCUAUGAUGCAUGACCUACUUGGUUGUGAAUCUGGACUGUAAGAGAUGCUGCUACCUACUCCCUCUGUUCCAUUAUAAGCUUCUUUACAUGAGCAAGCCCUAACCAGAUGGAGGGUCUGAUCGGUCGCUGGUUCUAGAUCCCUCCUCUAAGGGUGCCGCCUCUAACGAGCAGUUGGGAGCUGGGAACCCUCAGGGAGUAGAGAUGCCCCCGCGAUUCAUGGAAUCCAGUUGUGGUAAACUUCGUGGUGAAUCUGUGAUAGUUCUCUAUGAACCUUUGGAUCAAAGAGGACCUUAAGUUUGUUGUUGUUUCUUCUGCUGCUACUACUGUUGUUGUUGCUCCUCCUCCUCAUCUCUCUCUCUCUCUCUCUCUCUCUCUCUCUCUCUCCUAAAUGGCUCUUCUUAGCACUUAAUUACACUUGUGGUUGAGGGUGUUUACAACUGCAAUGAAACAGAGGGAUAUCUGAAGGCUCACAGGUUCCUGGUCCCAUCUAUAAGGGCGCCGCCUCCGCCAAGCAGUUGGAUGCUGGGAACCUUAUGGAGUAGGGGUGGAACCAGCGGUGCGAGAUGGACUGCUGGUUUAUUGGCCUUACAAGAUCUUGGGAGAGCUGAAAGUGCCUUUUUUGCCUUUGAGCAUUUUAGGUGGUUAGCGUAUGUCCAAAUGACACUUCACUCUAAUAAUCAAGAUACAAAAUUCUUAUGAGGGGCAGUGAUGAUUGACCAUUGCUGAUAUAAGCACACCCUUGAUCAAUUGAGGUGUGUGUGGGUAUCAAAUUAGAUCCUCCCUCUUCUCCCGGAGCUGUUUUGAUCAUGUGCUUAUUUUGGUGGCUCUGUCCUUGGAUGGUCAUUCUUGUCAGUGAUAACCAGGGCAGAUUCACUAAAGUAGAGACCAGAUUGAUCUGGUGAUGGGAGAUGAUAGGGGUAGGGUUGCAUGAUCGAUGAAAGGCGAAUCUGAGCCCAACUCAAAUGCAGUCAUACUGGUUCCAAGCAAGAUGUGCUACAAUCAAUAUACUCUUAUAUUGGUAACAUCUUAUACUAUGUUAUGGAGGGAGUAUGUUGUUUUGGCUCUGUAUACAUGUUCAUGGCUUCUUUGAUUCACAGGGUUUUAAAAAUACAUGGAGAUUGGAUUACAUUGUCAUGCAUCUUUUUAUUAUGGUUGCCAAGCUUGAGGGCGAUGAUGAUUGACUUUGGCUGAAAUAAGCGUGCCUUUGAGCAAUCAAGGCACCUGUGGGUAUCAAGUUACAUCCUCCCUCGCAUCUCUGAUCCUUUUUGAUGCUGUGAACUGCUGGUUCUGUCCUUGGACGGUCAUUCUAGAUUUCUAGUUGAGUGAUAACCAGGGCAGCUCCAAAGUUAAAACAGGUUCAUCUGGUGAUAAGAGAUGAUGGGGCUAGGGUUAUAUGAUCGAGCAAAGGCGAAUCUGAGCCCACUCAAAUGCAAUUUUACUGGUCUGUAAGCAUGAUGUGCUACACAGUUUCCUUAAACAUUCGUGUUUGGAGGUUUUACUUAUUUUAGCAUCUCCAAGCAAAAAAUAACAGAUUCAUGUUAAUUUAAUUUCCAUACUAUGAAGUCCUAGUCUCAGCAAGUUACCAGUACAUGCUGCAAAGGUUGGUUCUACCCGAUUGUUCAUGUAAACAGUGACCUCCUGAUAUAAACUGUUGCGUUUUGCUGCCUGUAACCAAUAAUCAUUUUUAAUGAGACUGGGCUGAUAUAAACAAUUGAACUGUCAUUCCAUUAUUUCCUUUUGUUAGUUUUGAAGCUUUCCCAUUUGCUAUGGUUGUAGGUGUAUGGAUCUUGUCUUGUAUGAUUUCUGUCUGCAGAAUUGUACUUUCAUCUUACUAUUUUUUUUUGCAUCAUGCUAAAAUAUUGAUGAAACUAAAAUGCCUGGAACAUAGUUCUGAAACCCCAAACUUUAUUUCUGUUGGUCUAGCUGAGUUGUCGCAAGCUGUACCUUAUUGUUUUAGUUCUCUUGUGUUAGCCACUUCUGUUUGUGCAUCAACCAAACAUAAAGUUGAUGUAGCAGUAAAUUCAGUUCGAACUCUGUUAAAAAUAUCGACUGGAACUCCAUUACUCGCUGCAGGUGCGUGCCUGCGUGUGUGUUUGUGCGAACUCUGAUGAGACAGAGGGUUUGACUGGUGCGCGAUGUGCUACAACCAAUGUAAUAGCAUCUUAUUUAUGGUACGGAGGUAGUAUGUUGUUUUGGUUCUGUAUCUGUGUUCAUGGCUUCUUUGAGAAUACGUUUUAAAAGUACCAUGGAGACUGGACUACACUGUCAUGCAUCCUUUUAUUAUGGUAGUCAAGCUUUAGGGUGAUGAUGAUUGACUUUGGCUGAAAUAAGCGUGCCUUUGAGCAAUCAAGGAACCUGUGGGUAUCAAGUUGGAUCCUCCAUCUUGUCUCUAUGAUCCUUUUUGAUUCCGUGAACUGCUGGUUCUGUCCAUAGAUGGUCAUUCAUGUUGAGUGAUAACCAGGGCAGGCUCCAGAGUAAAAACGGGUUCAUCUGGUGAUAAGAUAUGAUGAGGUUAGGGUUAUAUGAUCAAGCGAAGGCGAAUCUGAGCCCACUCAAAUGCAAUUUUACUGUUCUACAAGAAUAUUUGUGCUCCAAUGUUGCUAGCUGUUUAGCUGUCUGGUUUUCUUCUCUUUCAUUCAUUGCAUAAAUUGUGGUAUUAUGCUCUCUUUCGUUUGUUGUUGCAUCAUUAAGGUCUUUGAUUCAUUAAUUCUAUGAUAUGUUAAUUUGGUCCCACCUUUUUAAUUUUUGCUAUCCAAAUUGUGCAAUAUAAUUUGCAACACUUACCCUUUUUCAGUGUUUGCCUCUUCUGUGAUUCCAUCUUGCAACAGCUUUGGCCCCAGCACAGUAUUCUUUGUGGUUGCAACACAUCUGCAGAUUAAUGUUCCAGUUCUGGCUGGUUCAGUUUGGGUAUGCUCAUUUGUUGGGGAACUUGAUGAGGUGAUGCAAGUAAGAGUAGAUUGCAUGGGACAAUGCAGCUCCAUUCCUGAACCUGAAUAUUUGGCUGAAUUCUUGAGUUACUGAAACAAGUCGAGAAUACUGAAGGAAUAUUAUGGAAGUCAUUGCGUAUUGACCUGCUUGUAAACUGUGCAUAAAUGGCACCAUAAUAAAAUUGUUGUGGUUUAUUGUA
Molecule: long non-coding RNA, 4651 nt
Organism: Lolium perenne
Lineage: Eukaryota; Viridiplantae; Streptophyta; Magnoliopsida; Poales; Poaceae
Source: RefSeq, a predicted model, not a curated record